UGUGGUACUCCGGCGCAUGUCGGGGAUAUUAAAGAUGGGGAUUCUUCGGAACCUGUCGCUUGGAGAGGAGCCCGCGUCCCAUCAGCUUGUUGGUGAGGUAAAAGCUCACCAAGGCGUACGGGUAGCUGGUCCGAGAGGAUGGUCAGCCACACUGGGACUGAGACACUGCCCAGACUCCUACGGGAGGCUGCAGUCGAGAAUCAUUCGCAAUGCGCGAAAGCGUGACGAUGCGACGCUGCGUGGAGGAUGACGGCCUUAGGGUUGUAAACUCCUGUCAUUCAGGAACAAUGAUCCGGGUGUUAAUAGCGCCGGGAAGUGAUGGUACUGAAAGAGGAAGCCACGGCUAACUCUGUGCCAGCAGCCGCGGUAAUACAGAGGUGGCGAGCGUUGUUCGGAUUUACUGGGCGUAAAGGGUGCGUAGGUGGUUAUGUGUGUCGGGUGUGAAAGCCCACGGCUCAACCGUGGAAUUGCACUCGAAACUGCGUAACUUGAGUGCAGGAGAGGAGAGCGGAAUUCUUGGUGUAGCGGUGAAAUGCGUUGAUAUCAAGAAGAACACCGGCGGCGAAGGCGGCUCUCUGGAAUGCAACUGACACUGAGGCACGAAAGCUGGGGGAGCGAACAGGAUUAGAUACCCUGGUAGUCCCAGCCGUAAACGGUGCGCACUUGGUGUGGGGGGAAUUGACCCCCUCCGUGCCGGAGUUAACGCGUUAAGUGCGCCGCCUGGGGAGUACGGUCGCAAGGCUAAAACUCAAAGAAAUUGACGGGGGCCCGCACAAGCGGAGGAGCAUGUGGCUUAAUUCGAUGCAACGCGAAGAACCUUACCAGGGCUUGACAUAUACCUGCACGCCCCGGGAAACCGGGGAAGCCUUCGAGGGUGGUAUACAGGUGCUGCAUGGCUGUCGUCAGUUCGUGCCGUGAGGUGUCUGGUUAAGUCCAACAACGAACGCAACCCUUGUGUUUAGUUGCCACUCCUGGUGUUAAGCCGGGAAGCACUCUAAACAGACUGCCCGUGCAAGCGGGAGGAAGGUGGGGAUGACGUCAAGUCAGUAUGGCCCUUACGCCCUGGGCUGCACACGUGCUACAAUGGCGAGGUACAAUGGGAUGCAAUGCCGUAAGGUGGAGCAAAUCCUCAAAACUUGCCCUAGUUCGGAUUGGAGUCUGCAACUCGACUCCAUGAAGUUGGAUUCGCUAGUAAUGGCGUAUCAGCUACGA
Molecule: ribosomal RNA, 1212 nt
Filed under: uncultured organism
Description: bacterial SSU rRNA
Rfam family: Bacterial small subunit ribosomal RNA
Source: RNAcentral